This 266-nucleotide ribosomal RNA is filed under the name uncultured archaeon. Its description in RNAcentral is "partial 16S ribosomal RNA". It matches the Rfam family "Archaeal small subunit ribosomal RNA", at positions 722 to 982 of the family's 1478-position model. The record is from RNAcentral.
ACACGUCUACAUUAGAUACCCGUGUAGUCCCAGCCGUAAACUAUGCGCGUUAGGUGUAUCGGUGACCACGAGUCACCGAGGUGCCGAAGGGAAACCGUGAAACGUGCCGCCUGGGAAGUACGGUCGCAAGGCUGAAACUUAAAGGAAUUGGCGGGGGAGCACCACAACGGGUGGAGCCUUGCGGUUUAAUUGGACUCAACGCCGGGAAGCUCACCGGAUAAGACAGCGGAAUGAUUGCCGGGCUGAAGACUCUGCAUGACUAGCUG